UACGUAGGGUGCAAGCGUUAAUCGGAAUUACUGGGCGUAAAGCGUGCGCAGGCGGUGAUGUAAGACAGGUGUGAAAUCCCCGGGCUUAACCUGGGAACUGCAUUUGUGACUGCAUCGCUGGAGUGCGGCAGAGGGGGAUGGAAUUCCGCGUGUAGCAGUGAAAUGCGUAGAUAUGCGGAGGAACACCGAUGGCGAAGGCAAUCCCCUGGGCCUGCACUGACGCU
This 224-nucleotide ribosomal RNA is filed under the name uncultured bacterium. Its description in RNAcentral is "partial 16S ribosomal RNA". It matches the Rfam family "Bacterial small subunit ribosomal RNA", at positions 524 to 747 of the family's 1533-position model. The record is from RNAcentral.